UGCCUCUCUUUAGAAAAAAAAAAAGAAAAAAAUGGGGUCAGACCCGAGAGAUAAAAAAAGAAAAAGAAAAGGGGGGAGGGUUUUUCAUAGAACACUCUUGAUUCACGAAGAUUUAACCGUCCAAACUCAAAUUCGACUUCGGAAACGUGAUCUACGUGUGAGGAUCUACGUUCUUACCGAUUGUUUUGAGGUAAUGGGUUACUUAGAAUUUACUUGAGACUACCCAAACCAUGAGUUUGGUUUGGUGAAUUUUUGUGACGCAUUACAAGGUGAUGUCUAGGAGACCAAGUGCUUAAUAUCCGCGCAGUCAAAAUAUUGAUGCUUUGGUUGCAGGUUCUGUGGAUAUAGACAUUGACUUGUCCACCUAGCGCAUGGGAUGCUAUGAUUGGAGCACAUUGCGACAGUCAUAAGUCACAGACUCACGGGUAGUCAGCUUUUUGGGAUUUAAUUUAUGGCUCGUGUCCUAUGUGGCAUAUGUAUAUGUUGAGCCUAUAUUUUAGUAUGCAAUUAGUGUAAUGCGUUUUAUAAGCCAUAAAUAGAUAGACUUAUAAAUGGCUCUUGUUGUAGUUAACUGUUCUGUAU
Alnus glutinosa is the source of this 582-nucleotide long non-coding RNA. RefSeq lists it as uncharacterized. The record is from RefSeq and is a predicted model, not a curated record. The transcript has 4 exons. NCBI's taxonomy places the organism in Eukaryota, Viridiplantae, Streptophyta, Magnoliopsida, Fagales, Betulaceae.